Molecule: ribosomal RNA, 483 nt
Filed under: uncultured bacterium
Lineage: Bacteria
Description: SSU rRNA
Rfam family: Bacterial small subunit ribosomal RNA
Source: RNAcentral
AGGACGAACGCUGGCGGCGUGCCUAACACAUGCAAGUCGAACGGAAUCCAUCCAGUGGCAACACUGGUGAAGAUUUAGUGGCGAACGGGUGAGUAACACGUGAGGAACCUGCCCCGAUCUCAGGAAUAACAGUGGGAAACCACUGCUAAUACCGGAUGCCUUCCUUGAGUCUCAUGGCUCGACGAAGAAAGCGUUAGCGGAUCGGGAGGGCCUCGCGGCCUAUCAGCUAGUUGGUGGGGUAACGGCCUACCAAGGCGUCGACGGGUAGCUGGUCUGAGAGGAUGAUCAGCCACACUGGGACUGAGACACGGCCCAGACUCCUACGGGAGGCAGCAGUGGGGAAUCUUGCGCAAUGGGCGAAAGCCUGACGCAGCAACGCCGCGUGGGGAUGAAUGCCUUCGGGUUGUAAACCCCUUUCAGCAGGAACGAAAUGACGGUACCUGCAGAAGAAGGCCCGGCCAACUACGUGCCAGCAGCCGCGGU